This 250-nucleotide ribosomal RNA is filed under the name uncultured bacterium. Its description in RNAcentral is "partial 16S ribosomal RNA". It matches the Rfam family "Bacterial small subunit ribosomal RNA", at positions 524 to 776 of the family's 1533-position model. The record is from RNAcentral.
UACAGAGGUCUCAAGCGUUGUUCGGAUUCAUUGGGCGUAAAGGGUGCGUAGGCGGCGCGGUAAGUCGGGUGUGAAAUCUCGGAGCUUAACUCCGAAACUGCAUUCGAUACUGCCGUGCUUGAGGACUGGAGAGGAGACUGGAAUUACGGUGUAGCGGUGAAAUGCGUAGAUAUCGUAAGGAAGACCAGUGCGAAGGCGGGUCUCUGGACAGUCCUGACGCUGAGGCACGAAGGUCAGGGGAGCAAACGGG